Long non-coding RNA from Hemicordylus capensis (graceful crag lizard), 1001 nucleotides. RefSeq lists it as uncharacterized. The transcript is spliced from 3 exons. Lineage: Eukaryota; Metazoa; Chordata; Lepidosauria; Squamata; Cordylidae. The record is from RefSeq and is a predicted model, not a curated record.
CCUGCAUUUCUGAUUGGCUGUCGCUGGCUACAUCCAAGGUGGGAUUGUCAUGGCAACCAUUUUCAACAAAACGCAGCUCCUCACCAUGUGACUGGAAGAAAAGAGGGGGAAACAGGAAGUAACAGGGGAAUAGAGUUAAGAAAUCUGGCUGGAAAUGACAUGAGUGUUUUGUGAACAGAAAGUCACAUUCUGCUCCAGAAAAGGGACAUCAAGGAAGACCUGGAGAUAAGUCCAGACCAUGGAGUUGGUAGUCUGAGUGGCCAGCUUCGAUCCUGAGGUCAACGGGAUCAAGAUGUCUGCUGGUUCCAAAGCCAAGACUUGAGCCGUAGGCUCUGUAGGCAAGUCCGUCUCAGGCAUCGAGAUGGCCAGCCCCACAGGGGAAGAAACAGGCUGUGAGCCCAAGACGGGUGGGGAACCAGCAGCCGCCGUUUGCAUGGCCUUAGCUGGAGCUAAAGAUUUUGUUUUGGCAGAAUGCGAGGACUUCAAAGCUUGCUCCCAAAGCCAAGACUUGAGUCUCAAGGCACGGUUUUUCCUGGCCUGUUUAGUAAACUUGGAGCAAUGAGCACAGGACUCAACUUUGUGAGCCUCUCCGAGACAAAAUAAGCAGUGGUCGUGCCCGACUGUAGAGGAAAUCUUGGUGCUACAAUGGACACACUGCUUGAAUUUAGUGGUCUUGGCCACAGACUGUAAAAGAACGAAAAAAUGCCAAUCCCAAAGGGCAAGGCAUGUGUGUGUGAGGGGAAUACUGAGGAAGAAAUAAAAAUGCUAAUGAAGGGGAGAGAAACUGUAAACUUAAAUGAGGGAAGGAAUACAAUAAGGGUUAAGGAAGGGAUAGAUUUUACUUAGCAAAAUCUAGCUCUGAGAAAACUCCAACCGUGUUGAUCUGUCUGCGAAUGGAGAAAGAAUGAGGAGGGAAGCCUGUAGGAAUGUGCACGGAUCGGUUCGGAGGCCAUUCUAAAGGCCUCCAGACCGGUCCGGUCACGGGGUGGUUUUGGUUCGGG